Molecule: ribosomal RNA, 665 nt
Filed under: Alcaligenes faecalis
Lineage: Bacteria; Pseudomonadati; Pseudomonadota; Betaproteobacteria; Burkholderiales; Alcaligenaceae
Description: bacterial SSU rRNA
Rfam family: Bacterial small subunit ribosomal RNA
Source: RNAcentral
CUUGCGGGGUGCUUUAACAUGCAGUCGAACGGCAGCACGAGUAGAGCUUGCUCUCUUGGUGGCGAGUGGCGGACGGGUGAGUAAUGUAUCGGAACGUGCCCAGUAGCGGGGGAUAACUACUCGAAAGAGUGGCUAAUACCGCAUACGCCCUACGGGGGAAAGGGGGGGAUCGCAAGACCUCUCACUAUUGGAGCGGCCGAUAUCGGAUUAGCUAGUUGGUGGGGUAAAGGCUUACCAAGGCAACGAUCCGUAGCUGGUUUGAGAGGACGACCAGCCACACUGGGACUGAGACACGGCCCAGACUCCUACGGGAGGCAGCAGUGGGGAAUUUUGGACAAUGGGGGAAACCCUGAUCCAGCCAUCCCGCGUGUGUGAUGAAGGCCUUCGGGUUGUAAAGCACUUUUGGCAGGGAAGAAAUGGUAUCUCCUAAUAACCUCUGCUGAUGACGGUAUCUGUAGAAUAAGCACCGGCUAACUACGUGCCAGCAGCCGCGGUAAUACGUAGGGUGCAAGCGUUAAUCGGAAUUACUGGGCGUAAAGGGUGCGUAGGCGGCUCGGAAAGAAAGAUGUGAAAUCCCAGGGCUCAACCUUGGAACUGCAUUUUUAACUGCCUAGCUAGAGUAUGUCAGAGGGGGGUAGAAUUCCACCCGUAGCAGUGAAAUGCAU